UGGGGAAUAUUGCACAAUGGGCGCAAGCCUGAUGCAGCCAUGCCGCGUGUAUGAAGAAGGCCUUCGGGUUGUAAAGUACUUUCAGCGGGGAGGAAGGUGUUGUGGUUAAUAACCACAGCAAUUGACGUUACCCGCAGAAGAAGCACCGGCUAACUCCGUGCCAGCAGCCGCGGUAAUACGGAGGGUGCAAGCGUUAAUCGGAAUUACUGGGCGUAAAGCGCACGCAGGCGGUCUGUCAAGUCGGAUGUGAAAUCCCCGGGCUCAACCUGGGAACUGCAUCCGAAACUGGCAGGCUUGAGUCUUGUAGAGGGGGGUAGAAUUCCAGGUGUAGCGGUGAAAUGCGUAGAGAUCUGGAGGAAUACCGGUGGCGAAGGCGGCCCCCUGGACAAAGAUUGACGCUCAGGUGCGAAAGCGUGGGGAGCAAACA
RNAcentral lists this ribosomal RNA (427 nucleotides) under uncultured bacterium. RNAcentral describes it as "partial 16S ribosomal RNA". It matches the Rfam family "Bacterial small subunit ribosomal RNA", at positions 355 to 774 of the family's 1533-position model. The record is from RNAcentral.